RNAcentral lists this unclassified non-coding RNA (270 nucleotides) under fungal sp. RNAcentral's name for it is "partial internal transcribed spacer region". The stretch from base 1 to 46 matches the Rfam family "Eukaryotic small subunit ribosomal RNA", at positions 1786 to 1831 of the family's 1831-position model. The record is from RNAcentral. Lineage: Eukaryota; Fungi.
AAGUCGUAACAAGGUCUCCGUAGGUGAACCUGCGGAGGGAUCAUUAACACGUUUUAAAACACGUUUUAUACCAACCAACCGCGUGAACUAUUUAACACCUGUUUCAUUUCAUUUACAGUAACAUGUGAAUGAAUGAGGCAAAACCAACAACUUUCACCAUUUCUAUAACCAUUGACUGAUCUUCUUUUUCUACUGUGGCAACAUAGUAUGAACUGGAAACUAUAAUCAAAUAUCUAAGCACAACUCUUAGCAACGGAUAUCUUGGUUCUC